Molecule: ribosomal RNA, 814 nt
Filed under: uncultured bacterium
Lineage: Bacteria
Description: bacterial SSU rRNA
Rfam family: Bacterial small subunit ribosomal RNA
Source: RNAcentral
CAAGUCGAACGAACCUUUCGGGGUUAGUGGCGGACGGGUGAGUAACGCGUGAGAAUCUGCCCUCAGGAGGGGGAUAACGACUGGAAACGGUCGCUAAUACCCCAUAUGCCGAGAGGUGAAAUGAAUUUCGCCUGAGGAUGAGCUCGCGUCUGAUUAGCUAGUUGGUGGGGUAAAGGCCUACCAAGGCGACGAUCAGUAGCUGGUCUGAGAGGAUGACCAGCCACACUGGGACUGAGACACGGGCCAGACUCCUACGGGAGGCAGCAGUGGGGAAUUUUCCGCAAUGGGCGAAAGCCUGACGGAGCAACGCCGCGUGAGGGAUGAAGGCCUCUGGGCUGUAAACCUCUUUUCUCAAGGAAGAAGAUCUGACGGUACUUGAGGAAUAAGCCACGGCUAAUUCCGUGCCAGCAGCCGCGGUAAUACGGGAGUGGCAAGCGUUAUCCGGAAUUAUUGGGCGUAAAGCGUCCGCAGGCGGCCUUGUAAGUCUGUCGUUAAAGCGUGGAGCUUAACUCCAUUUCAGCGGUGGAAACUACAAGGCUUGAGUGUGGUAGGGGCAGAGGGAAUUCCCGGUGUAGCGGUGAAAUGCGUAGAUAUCGGGAAGAACACCAGUGGCGAAGGCGCUCUGCUGGGCCAUAACUGACGCUCAUGGACGAAAGCCAGGGGAGCGAAAGGGAUUAGAUACCCCUGUAGUCCUGGCCGUAAACGAUGAACACUAGGCGUCGGGGGAAUCGACCCCCUCGGUGUCGUAGCCAACGCGUUAAGUGUUCCGCCUGGGGAGUACGCACGCAAGUGUGAAACUCAAAGGAAUUGACGG